Non-coding RNA from Nicotiana tabacum (common tobacco), 3262 nucleotides. Lineage: Eukaryota; Viridiplantae; Streptophyta; Magnoliopsida; Solanales; Solanaceae. The record is from RefSeq and is a predicted model, not a curated record.
CCCAAACUCACCCUACGUCCGCCCCACUCCCCCUCCAAAAAGACCCUUAGUCUACUGCUGAUCAAAAUCUGAAACUGCUAUAAAAAAUUUAUGGAAAAGAGAAAAACGUUUGUCACCUCCGCCGGCAUCAACUGCUCAUCUUAGAGUUUCUUCUCAUCAAGAUUCAGUCGUUCUCCAGUUGGGUUCUCAAAAAUUUAGAGCCUUAGAAGGAUAAAUCUCAAUGCGUGAAAAUUAGGCAGUGGUUUUGACGAUCGAAGCUUAACAGUAAUUUGCAUUGUUUUGGUGUUACCUUAUAAAGGAAACAUAUGGAAAUGAAUCUUCUGAUUCUAGUGAUGAAGAUUUUGAGGGUGGUCCUUCACCCAAGGAGAGAGAGAUCAGAAGUGCCAAAGCUACUAUGACUUCUCCUAGUUCGACUUUAGUAGACACAAAGUACCAAAGUGGGAAGCAAAAAGGGAGUAGACAUGCUUCUGAUAGGGGUCUCUGUGAGAAACUCAAAAUUGGAGGCAUGGACACCUCUGAACUUCAUUCAAGUGGUAAAAAGAAAACAUAUAGGGAAGGUGCCAUCAAGAGGCUCUACGAAUCCUUCAAGGAAAAUCAGUAUCCUGACCGUGAUGCAAAUGAGAAGUUGGGUAAAGAAUUAGGCCUAACAGCUCACCAGGUUUUAUGAGUUCUCCCUGGCAUAUAUUAAUUUCAGCUUCGUCCGCAUUUUCUCCACUUGUAUCUUCGAUUUUGCUUCGCUGCUACCUUCUUUUUUCUUAGUUUCUUUUUGUCAAAUAUACAAGUCAGUAAAUGGUUUGAAAAUGCUCGUCAUUGCCAUCGUCAUUCUUCUCGCUGGGACUCAAUUAUGAGUUAAAAAGUGUCGAAAGAAUCUCCUUCCUCACCAAAUAUAAUGGGAGAACCACUUGGAAUUGAAUCUCUAUAUGUGGUAAAGUUAAAGUUGAACAGAGUAGCAUUUCUUAUAUAAUGUUGGGAUAAAUAUAAAAUAUGCAUUUAUUUUCUGCUCUAUGAGCUAUUUACAUUACCAACAAGAAAACAAAUCAAACAAAUUGUUAGUAACUCAUGAAAGGGGAACACUUUUAGAUGUUUAAACUUCUGAGCAUUCUUCCAAUCUUGCGUUGUCUUCCUUUAAAGUGAACGUCUUAAUUCUUUUUGUGUUUCCUCCCCGAGUAAUGAAUUAUAUUGUUCCUUGAGCCUUGCUUUAAACUUGGAUUUUUUUUUAAUUAUGCCCAAUCUUUGCUUUACAUAAUCCACGUGAGAUAACUGCUGGGAGUCUGAAUUUAGUUUUAGAUUCUGCACCCUCCUGUUAUUUGGAUGACAAUAUAUGGACCUGAAAAGGCCAAGAUCUUUUCAUAUAUUUUAAAGCUAAGUCACUUAUACGCAUCAAUCAACUAUGCCCAUAGUAACUAGUUUUGAUCAUACUUCCCCGUCUAUUUGAUUCUAAUUCUAACUGGAUUCACAAGAAUCCUAGGAGAUUGUAGCUCCAUGGAAUCAUAUUUUAGCUUUAAAAUUUUGAUAAAUUAUUCUGUGACCAGAGUAUCAAUUUGAGCCUUGCUUCUUGAGAGGUAUAUUUACCACUACUAAGUAGUUGGGAAGCGUCACCAGGGGCGGAUCCAGCCAUCUAGUACCGGGUUUAACUGAACCCAGUGCUUUUAUUGUGGAGUAUAAAUUUAUGUGUAAAAAUUUAUUAAAAUUACAAUAAAUAGUAAAUAUGAACUCAUAAAUUUAAAAAUAUAAUGAUGUAAUGCUAAAAACCUUAAUGGUUGAACCCAUAGAAUUUAAAUCUUGGAUUCGCCUCUGCGUCACGCCUCAUUUACAAGACAGUUAGGUGUAUUUGUUCGUGAUCAUUAAAUGUGUCCAUUGAGGGUAUACUCAUGGGCGGACAUCGAAGAAGAUAAGCUGGAACAGAGGAAGCUAUUACUGUAAGGAUUUAGAGCAUCAUUUUCUUGAUUUAUUUUUCAAGCUUGAUGCAUGUCAAAUAACUUGUGUUUGUUGCUGGUUGUGAACAUUAUAUGUGAGACCUUGGACUCACUCUUUUUCCAUCUUUACAGCCACGCGCCAAUAAUCUUUCCAAUAUUUCAUCCUUUUAGACACCCAUACUCACUAAUCUGGUUUCUUUCAGUGGUUGUGGGGAUUAUUAUGCUCGAUGCUCUAAAAUCCUUGUAGUAUUAAUCUUUUGUUUCAUAAUAUUUGUAUUUUCAAUUAUUAUGCUCGCUGCAUUAAUGGAGAUUGAGACUGUCAUCAGAUGCUUUAAAUGAGAAUUACUUAAUUAGAAGUUGUGUAUUAAUCUUCUGAAGUAGCUUGAAAGUCUUACUUUCUCAUGCUCCGCUAAAGGUAGAUGAUUCUUGUUUAUUUGUUUAUUUUCUUAUUUUAGAAGGGAGAUGGCUUUAUUUUUAGAUUCCGGAUAUAUACAGUAUAAAGAUAAAUUAUUUGUUCUAUGUUCAAAUCUUACCUUAGUGGGGAAAUCGAGAGCAUGUUCACAUUAUUAGUCUUCUUUUCCUUUUGGCUUGUGUUAGGGUAUCCUAACUGAAUUUUUCAGUUAGUUUUAUUUGAUUAUUAGCAAUUAGAGUCUAGUAUUUAGUGUUGCUACCGUGAUGUAUUUUCAUAUGUCCUGUAUUUUGCUAAGCAGGUACUUUAGAACUUCUAAGAUCAUAAGUAAUUGUAAUUGUAAGGUAUUGUCAUCUCUCCAAUGAGGAAGUAAAAAAGGAAUAACCAUGAGAAAGAAUACAAAUUCAGAAUUUGCAUAAAAGUCUUAGAAAAUGAAUUACCAAAAUGAUUUUGGAAUUGUUUGUGUCUCAGUAAAAAGAAAUUAAAUGAGUCUUUUAAGUCCCUUGGUGAAGUUUGCAGCCAGUUUGUAUAGCAGUUUGAUUAAAGAAGAUAUUGAAGCCUUAUUAUUAUUAGUAUUAUUUACGUUUCUUAAUUUGUAAUUUGUUAUAAUGAGAUCUGACAUUUUGUUCACUUUUGUCAUGGACCUACUAGAGGCAAUUUGAUCAAGAAGGCUAUGUAGUUCUAAUACAAGUCAUAUACGAGUAAAGUGUAGCAGAUCAAGAAUUUGAAAGUUCGAAGUAUCAAUCCUUAAAACAGUGCAGAGCAAAAAGUUGAAAUACAAGAAAUUUAUUUUCUUAGGGGUGGUUUAAAGACGUUUUAUGUACAUUGAACGCAUUUUUUCUCUUUUUAGGAGUUGUUAAAACGUUGCCAUACAAUUUGGAUGGUUUUAUUAUUCAUAUGAAUAUUGAUUAUUUAAUAUAGUUUUGAUUGUGUCGUA